CGACUUUUCUCGCAAAAGUCGAGUUUACAACUUUUCAUAUGUCAAUUCAAAUUUUUUAUAAUUGGCUUCAAAACACCUUCAAUUCUUCAUAAAUAUAUAAAACAGAUUCGCUGCUAGUUCUAUUGAGAACAGUGUACACUGCUAGGAAUAUUGGCCUAUGAUAUAUCUAGAGUAGUCGAGCAUCCACCUGAAGCAUUUUGGAACCUCUAUCUAGCCAAUUUAGGGCAACACUCUGCACUGGAUAUACACCACUGCUCGAGCAUUUCAAUGUGAUAAGGUGAUAAGUGACACUUACACUGUCAACUGUGAAACAUCCUUUAAUUUCUCCCAUUCGUGUUUCGUCAGUUUGGGAGACCAUUGCAUUCCGACAGACUUUGGAUUCUACAGGUGUGUCUGGAGGAUUACUUCAUUUAUGUUAUAUUUUAGCUUUUCAAUACAUCAUGUACCAAAAUUCGAGUGUACCAUGUACCAAUUUCCUCAAGUAUGACUGCCUUUGACAACUUGACUAUGACUAUAACUUCCAUGAAAAUACAAGAA
This is a long non-coding RNA of Daphnia pulicaria, 537 nucleotides long. RefSeq lists it as uncharacterized. Lineage: Eukaryota; Metazoa; Arthropoda; Branchiopoda; Diplostraca; Daphniidae. The transcript is spliced from 4 exons. The record is from RefSeq and is a predicted model, not a curated record.